Molecule: ribosomal RNA, 464 nt
Filed under: uncultured bacterium
Lineage: Bacteria
Description: partial 16S ribosomal RNA
Rfam family: Bacterial small subunit ribosomal RNA
Source: RNAcentral
GACGAACGCUGGCGGCGUGCUUAACACAUGCAAGUCGAACGGAAAGGCCCCUUUGGGGGUACUCGAGUGGCGAACGGGUGAGUAACACGUGAGUAACCUGCCCUUGACUUCGGGAUAACUUCAGGAAACUGGGGCUAAUACCGGAUAGGAAUCCUUGCUGCAUGGUGGGGGUUGGAAAGCUUCGGCGGUUUUGGAUGGACUCGCGGCUUAUCAGCUUGUUGGUGGGGUAGUGGCUUACCAAGGCUUUGACGGGUAGCCGGCCUGAGAGGGCGACCGGCCACAUUGGGACUGAGAUACGGCCCAGACUCCUACGGGAGGCAGCAGUGGGGAAUAUUGCACAAUGGGCGGAAGCCUGAUGCAGCAACGCCGCGUGCGGGAUGACGGCCUUCGGGUUGUAAACCACUUUCAGCAGGGGCGAAGCUUGUGGUGACGGUACCUGCAGAAGAAGCACCGGCUAACUACGU